This 22216-nucleotide long non-coding RNA is filed under the name Eucalyptus grandis. RNAcentral's name for it is "long non-coding RNA (EGRA_LNC005114)". Lineage: Eukaryota; Viridiplantae; Streptophyta; Magnoliopsida; Myrtales; Myrtaceae. The record is from RNAcentral.
GUGAAUAAACUCUGUAUUCUCCGGAUAGCAUACAUUUGAAAGCUUUGCUUUUCCGUUCACCUUUCACCUGUGAUGACGAAGAGCAUUAGAUGGCACUUGAGGGCGAAGCCAGUUCAUUCUGGAUGAGUGUGUUUGGCGUUCUUCUGUUCCAAGUUAAAACAUCAUUUGUUGAAUUGUAUAUACACGCGGGACCUCAUGGCAUAGUCCAGCUGACAUUUUAUAUACAUCGCUUGAUUCAAUACGAAUCUCAGUUUUCUUUGUUCUAAUGAUUUCUGCUACUAGUAUGGCUCAGCUGGUCAUGUAAUUCGGUUUCAUCUUGAGAUAGAGUUAUCCUUAGUUGCAACACCAAAAUCACAUAAGCUGGGGUUGCCUUCUUGACAGUCCCGGCAUAAUUCUAUGUUUUAACAAGAUUGAGAAUGAUAAGAGUUACCUUUUCAAAUGGUCAUACUUAUUUGCGGAAUGCUUUCCUUGUGUAGGAAACUCGCAGAUAAAAUUGCAUCCGCGGGAUUCUUGGUGGUCGUACCUGAUUUCUUUUACGGAGAUCCCAUUAUUGAUUUCACUAGUCCUAAUUUCAAUUUUGAAGCUUGGUUUAAGAAUCACGGCACGGUGAGUUUUUCACUCCUUCAGGCUGUGAAAGUGUGACAGUACAUUUAGAAGUUCAGAGGAAACAAGGGGCUUUCUACUGUGCAAACUUGAUUUGUAGACUCGAAUCACACGCAGUAAGUUGCAUUGGUAUUUAGACCUGGUUGGAGAUUGCUGGUCAUUUCAAAGAUUUUCGACGCCCAGCAAGAUCUUUAUUAUAUAAAAUUCCAAAUGCAAAACAUGAAACAGCAUAAGUAGAAUAAAAGCCUCAUGAAUUUUGAUGUUACCGACUUUUAGACAAUCUUUUUAUAAACGUUUACUUCAUUUGCUUCUUUAGGAUAAAGGGCAUGAAGAUGCCAAGCCAGUGAUUGCUGCUCUUAAGAGCAAAGGUGUGUCUGCCAUUGGGGCUGCAGGAUUUUGUUGGGGAGGUAAAAUUUUCUGAAUUCACUUUCCUAGUUCUGAGGGGGUUGUUGGGUUAAGAAAUGGGAAAUUUGUUCUUAUUGGAAAUUGUAAUCCAUUUUCUCUAAAAAUAUCUAGAAACUACUAACUUAAUCAUGAAGGUGAGAACCUUCUAGAAUUGUUGAGAAUGAAGAUUGCUAGUUGAAUCUAGAAGAUUCACAUGGGAAUGCAAGCAAGCAAAAGCCAAGCAUCAAAGAAAAUCCUAGAACAAGCAAGAGAAGUCUAGAGAAGUCCAUGCUUCAAGAGAAGUCUAGAAUUCUAGAAUGCUUCAAGAGAAAUCUAGAAUUCUCUAUCUUAGGUUAGUAGCUAUUUGUAGAGAAGUCUAGAGACUUCCUCCACCUACUUUGGCAGCCUAUAUAAAGGAGCAAGUGCUCCAUGUUUUGGUGAAAGGGAGCUAACCAUAAAAACCACAUCAUGCUCCCUCACCAACACUUCCUUCAACUAUUGUAAAAUUAUUUUAUCUAACUAAUCAAACUAUUUUUGUCCCAUAAACCUUCUCAAAAUAUCCUAUAUCCCAUGUUCUUUAUCCUUUAAUUAUCCUAGUUUAUCUUUUGUCCGUCCUCUACAAACUAUAUCAUACACUUGCACACAACAUCACUAAUAAAAAACUAUCAUCAAUACCAAAACCAUACUUCUGCGCAUAUUUAUAUUUUUAACAGUUCUACAUUGACCGUUGAGAAACUAGUUUUGUUGACUUGCAGAAAAGUUCUUUCAAGUUGUUAAAAAGAGCUUGCCUAUUCUUUUCAGGAGUGGUGCUUGUGAAAUUAGCGGGCACUGAAGACAUUCAAGCAGCAGUUAUUCUGCACCCCGGUCCUAUGACCGAAGAUGCAAUCAAAGGUAAAGCUAUGCCAAUAAACAUGGACUUGCUAUUUUCUUUUCAGCCGCAGCGAUAUAAUUUCUUCAUGAGGGUAUAAGACUUGGUACUUGGCACGGGAGCCUUUAUCGCCUAUUAUGAAAUGCUCAUGAACAAUUAAAUUAUAUGAAUUCUGAUGGGAGUCUGUAAUGCAGCCAAGAGUGACGAAGAAACUCGCUAUAACAUGUCCGGUCAAUUACAAAAAAUCGAUGGCACGACUUUUGUCUACUUGAGAAGUGUUCCUUAAACUGGAAGCCUUAAAAGACCUUAUUUUCUUCUGUUCUUUGUUCAGCUGUCAAGAUUCCAACUGCUAUAUUGGGAGCCGAGAUUGACCAUUCUUCCCCGCCGGAACAACUGAAAAAGUUUGGGGAGAUCAUGUCGGCUAAAACUGAAGUAAGCUUCUUAGGAUGCUUUGCAUUGGUUGCAAACCAAUUGUGAGAAAAUGCAAUCGAUUUUUUACAUUCCCGUCAUUUCGCUUGGAAAGCACUUUCCCUUCCUGGUUAUUUAUACACAUCGCUAAUUCAAAGACCCCGGUUUUGCAGUUUGAGAGCUAUGUGAAGAUAUUCCCUGGUGUUAGUCAUGGAUGGAGUGUGAGGUACGACGACGACAAUGAAUUGGUGGUCAAGAGCGCCGAAGAGGCCCAAGAAGACACUUUGAAUUGGUUCUUGAAGCAUGUCAAGUGAAGAGAACCGAAGGCAUUGAAGCAGAACAUUCUGACGGAAGCAGUAGAUGACUGUAUUGUGUGAGACGAACAGUUUGAGGACUAGUCAUCUAUUGUAAUAUCUGGCGAGGGAACAAUGUACUGUGCUGUUGAUACUUAGAGAAAUAAAGACAUUGGUUUCAUCGCUUAAACUUGGAAGAUUGAAAACAAAAUAUAUCGCCUAGAGUUGUAUCGUGGCGAUUUGGAUGCGUUUGUUAUUCGAAUCGGUUAGAGGUGUUCACUGUCCACUGGAUGAGGACCACAUAAUGGAAUAUGAAACAGCAUAUUUUGAAGGAUGUGUUAUUUGCAUGGUUACCACCUUGUCAUCAGCUAAAGUGGCUAAUAUCUAAGGUAAUCUCUAGACCACUUGAUUUUGAAUGUAUCCAUUAUAUUAUAACUUGACAAGUAUGCGAGCAAUUAAUAUUUUAUUAAAAGAUACACGACCUCAAAAUCACAUGUCUCAAGAAUUAAAAAAGAAGAAGAGAUGAAAGUAAGGAUAUGGAGAAGAAUAGUAUCCAAAAUAUAUGAGAAACCAACUAUUCGAACUUAUGACAAAAGCGAAACGUUUGUUUUCUAUCAAGUCUAUAUGAUAGUAGGUUAAGAUUUUUCGAAACUAAACCGGAUAGACAUGGCAAAAUUCGUCCUUCAUGUAUAUGGUAUAUAUUUUCGCAACGUGCAUUUGUAUACUGACCAAAUAAUUUCAGAUUUUGGCCAGAUUGUGUUUUUUCGUGAGAGGAAGCAUGUCUCUAUCAGGCUAAAUAUAUUAUGGUUUCGUCUUUGUUCGUUUCUCGUCUGUUUCUCACCGGCCCUCUUCCUUGUUUGACGUCAGCAGUGACGUUAAUACGAACCACGAGACCUUUGAUAACUAAUCCAAACCAUAAGAUUACACGUGCAAGGUGUCUGCAAGAUUAACUUUUUCAGACGCUGUGAUAUCAUAUCGCGGAUAGGCCUAUAGUUUUCAUAAGGCAUUAAUGCACGAUUCCACUUAGCGACCAGAGGAUCACCGUAUCAUCUCUCGUCUCUUGGCUCUGUUCUUACCUCGGAAAGAAUAAAGAAAUGAAGAAAAAGACCAUGAACAGUAAACAAUGAAAGAAAAAAAAAGAAAAAAAUCAAAAUAUCUAUAAAAUCUCUCAAAACGACGUCAUUUCGAGUGGAGUUAUACACGUCAAUAUCACUAACCCUUGGCAUGUAAGAUAACAAGCAUUGAUUUGCACCUCUACAUCAGAAUUUCCUGACAUAAAUUAGUUGGAUAGACUAUAUUACAAAAUUGUUGAAAGGUUCAUGACUACACUAGUCGAAUUGGACAGUUUAUUAUGAAAUUGGAACUUGUACAAUUUGUUCACGGCUUUUGGGUAGUUUUUCCCAUCUUAAGUAAGUCGUAAUUCUAAUACAAGGACGCAUAAGCUCUAUGCUUUUCUUAUUUAUUUUUUGGCCUAUGGUGAAUUAGGUGAUGCUUUUUUCGCGCGGUUGGGACAGAGACAACUGCUUUGUCUCCAAGCCGGCAACUUCCAUAUUGCUGAACCUGGACAUGAAUUUAGUAUCUGUACCACAAUUGUUGAAAUAACCUAAUGAAAAAGCCUAGAUCGGUCAAAAUUGGUUGAUUUGGGUCAUCUAGGAACCGGCCUUUGAAUUAAAGUCUAUCAAACCCAGGCCUAAAACUAUAUUGGUUGAUCCAGGCUGAAAUUGGAUUAGUCCACUUAUCAAUUGCAUUAGCCUGUCAGGACUCAACAGCCGGCAAUUAUCUGGGUUUGUAAGAAAGUUCCAUGCAUAGUAUACGGUAACUGGUUAGUAAUGGCUGAACAAACUUCAAACAAAAGCAAAGCAGGUGAUGGGCCUUUCUCUCUUGGAAAUUGGAAAUUGCUGAAAAAUGCUUUCAAAGAUCUUUCUAUUGGAGUUUUCGAAGUUCUCCAUAACCACAAAAAUUGUUUAACUUUUACUAGUUCAGAUUUUCAAGUGAGAUUAAAAAAAAAAAAAUCAUUUUGAGAUGUUUGCCUUCAAAAGUUUCUAAAACAAAUUUCUAAAGAAAAAGACUCGAGUUUAGCGCACAUCAGACAUCCCUUCCUCGAGACCAUGGACUGGGUUCCUCGGGUCCAAGAUUCGGGGUCGAGGGGGCAGGUUUCCCAAGUUCAAGCACUGGAUUCGACGCACUCCCGAGGCUCGGUACGAGGCAUUGGGAGCAGAGGACCAACGUCCCAUCUUGCUUUGUUGCCUAGUGGCGAGCGGGGUCCCAGGUUCAAGGCAACGACGUUCCGAGUCCAACUCUGAAGUCUCAAGACUAAGCAUCGUGGUCUCGAAUUUGACCCACAAGCACCCAAGGUAUGGGGUCCGAGCACUUGGUUCCUCAGUCCGACCCCAAGGUCCUAUGUUUGGCAGCUGUAGUCCCCCAUCUCUGAAGAUGAGGCGAUCGGGUUCUCGAAUUUAGAUGAUAAGGUCUUGGUUUAGCCUUGGUCAAGGUCCCAAGUUCAAGGGUUGAUGACACGGGCGUGUAUUUUAUAUAUUAUAACUUUUUACUAAUUUCCUUUAUAUUUAACAUAUGGUAGGAUAGAAUUUCUUUUGUAAUUUAAUUAGAAUUUCAUUAGAAUUUCAUUAGUUCUUCAAAUAUGUUAAGUUUUCUUGUUAUAUAAAAAUAUUGAGAGUUCUCCUCUGCUGCAUUCAUGUGCGUGCGCCAUCGUGUGUAGUGCGAGUGUUUACUUGUGUUGGCGAAUUGCCACUUGUGCAAUCACUCUUUUAUGUUACAUUAAGGGGCUAUUUGACAACGUGCCAAACAGUGUCAGAUUCUGAUUUUUUGUUCUCCGGAACAGAUUUAGAAUGGAAUUAAGAAUUUAAAAAAAAAAGUUGAUUCUUGUUUAGGAAACAAAUUUGAUAAUCGAAAUCAACUCUUCUUUUUCUUCUUCCCUUUCGCCACCUCGUGAUCGUUGUCCACCACCACCUGCCGCCAUCCGCCACCAUCCGUUGUCACUUGCCACAGCCCGCCGCCGCUGGUCACCAUCCGCCGGUCCGACAAGCUCGCCGAAGGCAAACCUAGCCACUGAUGAGGCUGGGCGAGCCUUACCCAACUGUCGGCGAGGCUCGAUCGACGAGGGCCAGCCUCGGCAAGGGCUGGCGACGCUUCGGUGAGGUUGCUGGUCCUCAUCUGGUUGGUCGCUGAUCUGGUGACCGGCCACAAGAAGAAGAAGAAGAAUAUGAGAAAAAUGAAAAAGAAAAAAAGAAAGGAAAAAAAGAAAAAAAAAGGGAAAAUUGAAAAAAAAAUAUUUAAAAAUUAAAAGAAAUUGAUUUGAAAUAGAAUCAAUGAGUAUGGUACCAAAUGCAAUUCUAUUUCAGAAUCAGAAAUUUUGGACAGUUACCAAAUAACUUAAAAUGCUUAAAAUUUGAUUCCAUGAACAAAAUAAAAAAAUAAUAAUUUCUGAUCAGAAUCUACUCUCGGGAAUAGAAUCGUUAUCAAACGCAUCCUAAACAAGUCCGGCCUUUGAGCACCGAUGUCUCAAAUUCAACCUUAAGAUGUGAAACCCGACCCUUUGAGUAUCGGGUUCGAAGAGUAGGUUAUCUGAGUUAUUUCCUCGAUAUUUUGAGUCCUGAAUAUGGGAAUGGUCUUGGUGGUGGUGGAAGUCAAAUCAGAUUCUAGAAAAUGUUGAGUCCUUUCAAGCGGCGGAAAUUUAUUUCCAAAAUCGAAGUGAAGAUUUCUAAUUGAUCAAAAAAAGUUCUAUAUUAACUCAUGUUUCUAACCGGCGUCAAAAGGCAAAAGAUGAAGCAGGUAUUUUACCAGCUAAUUUCCGGCAAGACAAACGGCUAAAACGUAAUUCAUUGUGCAGAAGCUCCUCGAGACAAAGGGAUCACUUGAUUUUUUAUGGUCCGUUCUCAAAGCCGAUUUGUUCCAGACUUUUUACAAAGAUCAAUCGAUCAAGCAUAUGGAGAAAGUGAGCUUCAAUGAGCUUUAGAGUUUUGACCAUAGAAAAGGGGAAUUUUUUUGUAUCAAUCAUCUUGAAGUUGGCAUAGGGUGUUUCUAUCAAUUACUCAAAUAUUUUUUGGCUGUUGUUGCAACAAGCGUUAUUCGACUUGAUUGGUCGAAUUAGGCAGAAUCCAAUCAUGCUUAAUCGCCGCACCUCCGCUUUCUUUUGGACUUACUCGUGGAAGCACAUAUUUCUACAUCUCCAGCAAUUAUCUAGUGCACAAGGGAUGGGGGAACUGACACAUCUGAUAGGGAUGGGAUUAGGUUGGGCACACAAAAAGUCCUAGAAAUCCAUUGCUACAACAAAAGAAUUCGAGGAAUUCGAAACAAGUGACUUUUCCUUUGUCUAGCUCGAAGAGAGAUUCUUCUAUGCCUCAUGAAUGUGACAUUUCUAUUCAUCCAAAUCAAUCACCACAUGUUGAUUAUUGUAAAUUGCCUUCUUUUAUUUUAAAAUGAUAAAAAAAAACUGCGUAGACAAUGACUAGAUUGGCUGGCUAGAUCAUAGUUAAAUUUCUCCCUCAAUAGGUGCAUUGAUUGUUGAUCCCGAACUAAACUUAAGAGCUUACACUUCUUUAUGCACACAAAGUUUCAAUCUCUUAUGAAAUUGAUAAAAAAAAUGGUCAUUGAAGUAUAAAGUUCUUUCUAAUUGAGAGGUGUUGAAAAUAAUAGUCACCAACAAAAACAGGCACAUCAAAAGAAGUCUCUAUGGAAAGGUUAGGUCUUUGUUCCAAAUUCUAAUCCUGAUUAAUGAUGCGACAUCUUCAUUGGGUCUUGAAGUGUCUGUUUAAUUCUCUUUGCUCCAUAGCUAGCAUAUACUAAUUCAAUUUGGAUCAAUUGGUUUUUUAAUUUUGUAAUCAUACUAAUAUGCUUCUUUAAAUGCUCCAAUUUAUUGAAAAGAAAAUAAAAUCUCAAUAGGAGAUUGAUUUCUAUUGGCAUUUACAAGAAAUUCCACCAAAAAAAAAAAAAGUUUAAUUGGAACCUUGGACUGAUACAAACAAGGAAAGGACGACACCAGAGUGCAAAAUGGAAAGAUGAAAUAUAGAUACCCCUUGGCGAUUUUAGUUUAACAUCUUUCUAUAAAGAGUCAAAUAAGUUUUUUAUAAAAAGGCAAAGGAUUAAUCAUUAUUUGAUGCCUAGGGGGCCAGGCCAAACACAGAGAAUGAGGAGACAUCGUGUUGAUACCUAAAUUUUGACGACCCGUUUAGUCAUUUAUUGCAUUAAAAAAUUAGGGGUUAAUUUUAUUCUUGAAAAAAUAGUCAAUUGCAUAGCAUAUAGUUUUAGAUGCAUUUAUUUUUUAAUUUGCAUUUACCAUGGGUCAGUGACAAAUGGGUUUAAUUUAGUGGUUCUAAAAUUUAAUUUGGCAGGUCAGACUAAGCCCACGAAGCAAAUAAAUUGACCCGAGCCUGUUUUCUUUUAAUGACAAAAAUUACCUAAAUAGAAAUUUGAAAUGAUAUCACGGUGGAUUUUUGAAAUUUAAUAAAAUUGGAUUGCAAUCUUAUCUUUAGGAGAUAAUAUUAAAAGAUGUGGAAAAUAAAAAAAGUGAUAUUACGUGCGAAAAAGAAAUCUUCGCGAAUGUUGAUUUGGAAAGGAAAUUAAAACCAUGAUCUUCAGCCUAUAAAAAGAUUUUUCGCGUAGGGUUUCGAGGAGGCCACACAUUGAAUAUAUGGCAGCACAACAAAAGGGUUUUGGAGAAAGAGAGAUAUACCGGGAGAGAUCGGAGAAAAGCUCGACGGUUUUGUCAAAAGACCAGAUCGCAGAGAGAAUCCUGUUCGCAUAACGAAAGGGAGAAGGCGGCGAAGCGCUGGCGACCUUUCGUUCAAGGAGAGAGCAUAAUCCAUUACAUCUAGUCCACGUUUUCAAGGAGUCAUCACAAAAAAAGGAGUCCCACAUGCGGCCACGCCAUCAAGAAUGCGCAGAUCACUUCAUCACAUCAUCAGAGCAUCUCGUCAUCAUCCUCGGACACCUUACAAGCGAUCUUAGCAAUUUAUUUUGAGGAGUACGCCCAAUGCUCUACUGACCCGGUGACACUGCUCAGCAAGCACCGACAAUUCCUCUUUAUCCUUGCAUGCGUGCAUGGAAUUUCUGGCCUUGUAGGAUCGAAUUGGAAUUGCCGAGUUCCCGCAACGAUCGCUGCUGUUUAUUGCCUGCUGCUAUUGCUGAGUUGUGUCGAGUUGACCAUGGAUCUGUGAACUCGUCCUCGUCUUCAUCCUUACAUCAUUCCUUACCGGUCCCAUUCUUGGAGAUAACUUUUCCGAGCUAGGAUUUGCCAAGUCAAAUCUUGAUCAAUUGAUGUAAUCGAGCUUCCAGAGAUGAUCCAGCAGAUCCAGACGAUCUCUUACGCCACUCUCGAGUGCCUCGUCGUUCCGUCCGUGACUCCGUGCUGAGCCACAAAGCCCCGACGUGAGUUGCUCCAACGUUUCUCACCGCCUCAGCAACGUACCAGGGACAUCGACUUUCUUCUAUUCGUGACGUUGCUGUCGACAACUUAGAGGCAAGAUAGAAGGCCUUUUAACUGAACUCCAGCAAUCCCGAGCGGUUAUUCAACAUCAGCCCAGCAUCGUUGAGUCAAGGUCAAGCCUGGACAAUCAACUUCCGGUCCAUCAUCGUUGGCGAUCUAGUCCAUAAACCGCCGCUCACACUAUCGUCAUCAACAUCACUGUCCAUCACCGCCAUCCGAGCCUCAAAAUUCACAUAAUUACGGCAACAAGCCGAAGGAUUCUCGACAAAGGCUUGGCUUUAAAUUUGAAGAUUUGUUUUCCAUUGCUUGCUUGCGGUGUGGAAUUGUUUGUGUGCAGGUUAUUUGGGUCAGAGGGACACGUGAACCCGGUCAAAAGCACCAUGUCAUGUCAGUUUGAAGUCCAAGAGAACCUUCGUGAGCCAGGCCCAUCUCCGAGAACUUCAGGCACCCAUCAAAAAUUUCUCGACCCAUCAUCAUUGCUUGGCACCACCAGAUCGGUCCAGUGAUAUUGACGACCCUCGAUGUUCCGGCGAGUCCUCCACCGAGCUCAGAGCCAUCACCACCGCAAUUCGCAUGAUUUGUCCGUCUGAAUUUGGAAACAGUAUCCGAGUGAUAUUGCAAUUCAGGUAAUAAUUUUCAUUAAAUUGAUUUUCAUAUAUUUUUAUUUCCUAAUUUAUGAGAUCGCUAUCUCGCAUGAAAUUCCCGACUGAUAUUCGAAAUUUGAGAAUCAUCGACAGUCCAAUUUUCGCGUCCGAAAUCCGACUCACAAUCGCACGGAAAAUCGCAAAUUCGAUCUCACGCUUGAAAUUUGAUUCGCAAUUUAUUUAGAAAUUGGCCAACCCGAUCUCAUGCGCGAGAUACGGUUCGCCAAUUUGUGGAUAUCAAUCAUAUCUUAUUUGAUUUGCCGUCAUGUUGGUUGAAUCAAUUUUAUUUUUGUAAAAGGAAAAAUCCAAAAAAUAUUUGAAUUAGGAUUGGGUUGGUUUUAGAAUAUCUCUUGUUAUCUUGCAUAUUUAGAAUAGAGAUUCUAUUUCGAAUUUGUUAAAAAAUAAAAAAUAAAAAAUGCAUGCAUUUAGGAUGUUAAUUUUAAAUUUGAAUUGCACGUUUAAUUAUUUGGCAAUUUUUAAUUUCGAAGUUCAUAAAAGAAAAAGAAAAAAUUAGAAUUAGGGCAUUCUUUGCAUGUCAUUGCAUAUUAUGGUAGAUUGCAUACUUGUUAAGAAAAAAGAAAAAUGUCAUGUGCACGUCAUUAGGAUUAGAUUCAUGAAAUGCAUGCCAUUUAGUAGUUGUUGCUAGGUUUAUUCGAUUAAAAAUUGCAUGUCAUUAGAAUUAGGUCAUUUAGUUAUUUGCAUUGCAUAAAGCACGAUUCUCAUUAAUUAAGUGAAAACAAAAAGAAAUUGUGUGUUAAUUAGAAAUCUUGUUGAUAUGAAUUCUGAUAUAACAUUGCAGAUGCAGUUUUGCAAUUUUAUUCAUUGCUUUUCUUGGAUAUUAAAUUGGUUAUUUGCGCACACCUCACAUGUUAGGGAGAUAAUUUAAAAUCAAUUCAAACUGCCUGCCAAAUAUUUUUUUUUUCAAAAUAAAAAAAAAAAAGGUACCGAAAGGGCGUUGGAGAAGUCUAGCGUAACCAAGUCCUCGAACUCAUAAUCUCUGGUUCAAUCGACCCACCAAAAAUAGAUUAGUGGCGACUCCUAAUUACAAAUUUGCAUGUUAAGAACUUGAACCGAAAGUCGCGAAUUAGUAUAGGCUUGGGAGAGCCCGAGUUAAGUCUAGGCUUAAUAAUCCAUUAGCCAAAUCCUAGGUGAUGCACCCGAAAAUUUGGUCGCGAUACAUCGCCAUAGACAAAAUUGGUUCCUUGAUUUGACGGAUUUUCGUACUACACACAUCAACCAUUCACGUGCUCCAAUGGGGCCUCUCAUGCCCCGAGUCAUGAAACACCUACAAGAAUUUAUUUGCUUUGUCACCAUAUUAUUUAUCACCUAUGUACGUGUUUAUGCAUCAACUUUGGUGAAAAUCAUCAUAUAUAAACCGAAUCACUAUGACUCAAAUCAUUCCAUACAUAUAUGUAUGUAUGUAAAGUACAUUCAUUUUGUGAUUUUUGUCCUAUUAAAUCAAUGUAACAUGUACAAAAGGCGAUUGUUUGACGAGUUAGUCGCCCGAAGGAUCUCCAUGCUAAGUUCGAGAUUUUACAAAAGACAAGCUAAAUUGUUCCGUCUAGUCAAUUUCAAAAGAGUUGGAAUAUUGCAAAAUUAACGAUUUUUUUUUCUUUCGAAAAACAGAGCACCAUUUGUCUUAACGACAAGAAGAGACAUUACCAAAUUUUGUGGACAUACUUUGUCCGAGACCCGGCCCAUGUCCAGCAGCCCAGAUUGUGAUGGAUCCAGCAUGGACAGGCCCAUGGGGUGGCUGAUGGGCCUUGUCAAACACUAUUCAGUUGCUCUCCUAAGCUACAUCAAUGAUCAACGAUAAAAUUCUGUCACAAGACAAUUUUCUGUCCGGCACGAUGCAAAUAACGAGGUCUGAGAAUUAUAUAAUUACUUUCGAGACACGAGGUUCUCAUUUAUCUAAAUCAGUCAUAGCAUGGCAAGUGUUACAAACUUCCUUAUCUUCUUUCAAGAUCAAUGAUAGUUUUUCUACUUGAUGAUUCACUUGGAUGGAUUGAAAUGUCAUGCUUUGAGAGCACAUAAAAAUUUCUUAAUAAAUUGAUAUUUCAUUUCUUCUCUCGUACGAAUACCACUACCCGAUAUGCUUUGAGCGUUGAUCUUGUUAUAAAUGCCAUAUAAUCAUCAAUAUCAACUAGGUCAUAAUAAAGAUCAGUCUAAGUUUGCUGUACUUAAGUUCUUUGUGAGGUGCCCAAAACGAGCUCCAAAUCACAUAAAGACCUUCGACACGAGCCUGUAAUGUGAAGAGACCACCGACGUGAUCUCGAGUUUUGUAUAUUUGUAAUUUUAAUGCAUUAAUUUUGUGGACCUACUUGGUCUCAUCCCCAAGCCAUGUUUAUCGUCCAAGUUUGUCCUAACUAUCGACCUGGACUAGCUAAGUGCGCAUCGGUUCACCUCAAUCCGUCGUAAAUGGAAAUGCCGUCCCUGUUCAUAUCAAAAAAGUUUCACGUGACAAGCUCGAGCACUGCAAAAUCUGAUCUUUUGGAAAUGGUCUGUCUUGUUUUCGCGUCUUGCUCAUUGCAAGUUUUGAUCUUGGGAAACGGUCUCUGGACUUUUGCAGAUGACUUGAUGGGCUCUAUCAAAUGGACACUCUCGACAAAUAGAUUGGUGGAUUGAGAUAAGGCGGUCUUCACUCUUCACGGGAGAAAAUAUCUUUGGAGAAUACCCGUCAAAACCUGUAGUCAAAGCCCCCGGUUUCCUUAGAAUUCAGUGUCCGAGUGAGUGACGCAUGCCAUGAGGCCGCUAACUUCCGUCUUUUCCUGCAGAACUUCGAUCUUUUUCCAAUGUUCCGUUCGUAAAUUGUCUCAUUCUUUCACUCAUUCCUCGCUCUUGGCGCGUCCAGCAUUCACCAGAUUUUUUGGUGAAAGAACAGGACAAUGUUGAGGUCGGAGUGGUUUGAGAAUACCACCAAAACCUUUAGUCAAAGCCGCCACUUUCUUUAGAAUUCAGUGUCCGAGUUAGUGACGCAUGCGAUGAGGCCGCCAACGUCCCAUCUUUUCCUGCAGAACUUCGAUCUUUUUCCAACGUUCCCUUCAUAAAUCGUCUCAUUCUUGCACUCAUUCCUCGCUCUUGGUGCGUCCAGCGUUCGGCAGAUUUUUUUGUGAAAGAACAGGAAAAUGUUGAGCUCUCAGUGCUUUGAGAACCCACCGAACCUGAGCUCGACUUGUGGAGCAGGGCGUGUUGAAGAGCUCGCAGGCCUCAAGACUUACGUCACCGGCCCUUCUGAUUCCAAGCGUGCUCUUCUUUUCAUCCCUGAUGCUUUUGGUAAUGGCCUAUUUCUUUGAUUCUGAUUUUCUGUGUUGUUUCUCUGAUGGGUCUUUCUUUUUUGGUUGAUUGUGUUACUUCUUCUUGGUUCUUGGUCGUUCUUGUGCUUUUUCGAUCGAUCCAUGAAAUUGCCUCUUGAUGGAUCCUUUGCUCAUCUGUUUGUGCAGGGUAUGAGGCUCCUAAGCUGAGGUAUGGCGUGAUUACUUGCAUAGAAUCUUUCUUAUAGUGCCAUUUUUUGAAGUUUGCAAGUGAAUGACUCUGUAUUCUCCCUGUAUCUGAAAGCUCUGCCUUUCCGAUCACCUUUCCCCUGUGAUGCUGAAGAGCAUUAGAUAGCACAUGAGGGUGUGGCCAAUUCAUUCUGGAUGAGGGUGUUUGGUGUUUUUCUUUUCUGAGUUUACACAUCAUCUGUUGAAAUGCAUAUACGUUUGAUUUUGCGGCAUAAUUCAACUGACAUUUGAUGCACAUUGCGUAACUCAACAUAAAUGACAGUUUUGUUUGUUCUAAUAAAUUCUGCUACUUAUAUGGCUCAGCUGUUCAUGUGAUGCGGUUUCAUCUUGAGAUAAAGAUAGCCUUAGUUUCAACUCCGACAUCACAUAAGCUGGGAUCGCCCUGUUAAGGGUCAUGGCAUUCUAUGCGUUCACACGAUUGAAAAUGAUUGAGUUACCUUUUCAAAUUGUCAUACUUAUUUGUGGACCGCUUUUGUUGUAAAGGAAACUUGCAGAUAAGGUUGCAUCAGCGGGAUUCUUCGUGGUUGUACCUGAUUUCUAUUAUGGAGAUCCCGUUAUUGAUGUCAAUGAUCCUAAUUUCAAUAUAGAAGUUUGGCUAAAAAAUCAUAGCCCGGUGAGUUUUCCACUCCUUCAGGUCGUGAAAGUAUUAUAGCACAUUUAGAAGUUUAGAGGAAACAAGGGAUCUCCAAAUAGCAAACUUGACUUCUACACUCAUAUCACAUGUAGUAAGUUGCAUUAAUAGCUAGAUCUGGUUGGAGAGUGCUGGUCAUUUCAAAGAUUUUCGACACCCAUCUACGUCUGUAAUUUACCAAAUUCCAGACGUGAAACAUGAUGCGGUCUCAGUAGAAUGAGAGCACCAUGAAUUUUCAUGUCACCAGUUUUUUAGUUGUCUUUUCGUAAACUUUCACCCCAUUUACUUCUUUAGGAUAAAGGGUAUGAAGAUGCCAAGCCAGUGAUUGCCGCUCUUAAAAGUAAAGGUGUGUCUGCCAUUGGGGUUGCAGGAUUUUGUUGGGGAGGUAAAAUUUUCUGAAUUCACUUUCACAGUUCUGAGGAGGUUAUUGGGUUAAAUAGGGAAAACUUGUUCCCCAAAACAUCAUAGAAAAAUUAGUUCUGGUCACUUACGGAAAAGUUCUUUCAAAGUUUGUUAAAAAGAGCUUGCCUAUCCUUUUCAGGAAUGGUGCUAGUGAAAUUAGCAGGCACCGAAGACAUUCAAGCAGCAGUUAUUCUGCACCCUGGUCGUAUCACCGAAGAUGAAAUCAGAGGUAAAGCUAUGCCAGUGAACAUGGAAUUUCUUCUUAUUUUCAUUUCAACCAUAGCAACAUAAUUUCUUCAUGAGGGUAUUAGGCUGGGUACUUGGCAUGGGAGGCUUUGUGGACUAAUAUGAUGCUCUUAUGUAUAAGUUUAUGAAUUCUGAAAAGAGUCUGCAAAUGCAGCCAAGAGUGAUGAAGAAACCUGCCAUGCGUCUGGUCAAUUACAAGAAAAUCGAUCGCACAACAUUUGUCUGUUUGAGAAGAGUUCCUUAAACUGGAAGCCGCAAAAAUCUUAUUUUUGUCUAUUCUUUGUUCAGCCGUCAAGAUUCCAACUGCUAUAUUGGGAGCCGAGAAUGACCACAUUUUCCCUGCAGACGAACUGAAAAAGUUAGGGGAGAUCAUGUCGGCUAAAACUGAAGUAAGCGACUUAGGAUAUUUUGUGCAUUUGUUGCAAGAAAAAAUGUUGGAAAAUCCUACUGUUUUAUCACAUUCCCGUCAGUGAGCUCGCAAAGCACUUCUUCUCUCUGGUUAUUUCUAUGCAUCACCAAUUCAAAGAUCCCGGUUUUGCAGUUCGAGAGUUAUGUCAAAAUAUUCCCUGGUGUUAGACAUGGAUGGAGUGUGAGGUAUAAUGACGAUGACGAGUCCGCCGUCAAGAGUGCCAAAGAGGCCCAAGAGGACAUGUUGAAUUGGUUCUUGAAGCAUGUCAAGUGAAAAGUAAGGCAUUGAUGCAGAAUAUAGUGAGGAAUUUCAGGACUAGUCAUCUGUUUUGGAUUAGUCAUCUAUAAUGUUCUGUUGUGACUUUAAUAAAUAAGGCAUCGGUUUCGUAGAUCGAACUUUGCAGAUUGAGAGUGAAGUAUGUCAUGUAGAGUUGUAUCGUGCCAUCUGGGUUGAAUUCUCUGUUCAAAUUGAUUGGAUGUGUUCUCUAUCAGAUAGCGUAUUCGUUUAUUCAAAGGAAACUAUUUCUGCGGAGAGUAAGUUCAGUUUUCUAAAUCCAAAAAUGGAGUCCAUGGGCUUUCUUUUUCCCCUGCUUGGUUUUGAUAAAUUUUCUUAUGCGGAAUGAUUCAGUCUAUUCGAUCGAUAGAAUCAUGUUGAAAUAUCUGUCGACAAAUAAUCCUAAUGCUCAAAACUACAUCAAAGAUUGAAUUCAGCAUCACAAGACAAUUUUAUGCCUCAUGUAAUGCAGAUAACUAGUUUGGAAAAUCUCAUGGUUACCAUUGAGACAUGAUGUACUUAUAUGUCCAAAUCAAUCAUAGGGUGGCAAGUGUUAUGAACAUUUUUACUUUCUUUAUUCGCAAUAAAUGAUAGUGCUUUUCCAUGGGCAAUUGAUUUAGGUGGACCAAAACGUCAUGCUUCGAGAGCACCUAAAACUUUCUCCAUGGAUUGAGAUUUCAUUUUGUUUUCUGUCCAUAGUCUAUGCUAGAAACAUGAAUCCCACAACCUAAUAUGCUUUCGAGCCAAUGGUUGGGGGUGUUGAUCUUGUUUUGGAUGUCGGUAAUGAUCACCAUUGAUCAUGUCAUUUUAAUAACAAGGUGUCUAGUUUUGCUAUACUCGAGCACUUAGGAUAUAAUACGCGAAAAUGACAGGAUUUUACAAUUUACAUCAAUCCAAAAUCACCAAAGAAAUAAACGAGAAAAAUAAGGACACGAGAAAUUUAUGCAGUUCGAUCCGAGUAUCAGUACCUACGUCCACGGGGAGAGCCAGCAGCAAAUAAUUCACUAAAAUCGGAGUAUUCCCCAAACCUAACUCAUUUGGAUAUAAAUUCACGACACAAAAUUACUGCGCGCACAAGCUUAAAGUAUAACACGCGCGACUCUCUCUUCAACUUGACGUGCGGCUCCUUGCGGCUUCUUCUACGUCGGGCUUCCGCUGCUUCGUAGGGUUACAGCCGUGCGCUUCUUUCGGGCGGGUGAAAGACGUGCAACAAUUAUUUCUCUUUCUAUACGUGUGUGCCCAAUUCAAACUUUGACUUGGCCCACCUCUUUGUCUUUUUACGUUCAGAGGACUUUUCUCGCUCCUUUCUUUUAGAAAGAAGUUUAAUACGUGUGUGCACGUGUUGACUUUUGGGCCCCAUUUGGGCCCCACCCGGGUAACAAAGAAUUUGGCAAGCUUUCGUGGGUAAGGAAGAAAUUCAUAUCUUCGUUUUAUUUCCUCUUUUUGUAAUCCUUCAUUGAGUCCAACGGAGUUUUUUCUACUUGGAAAUCUUUAUCAACAAAAUUCAAUAUAAUAAAUCGUCAUCCGAAUUCAAACUCGAGACAUUAUUUAACAAUUUUCCACUUUUGCUCGAUAUUUGAAGCCAAAUUAUAGUGUUCAUCAUCCAUGCUGCUCUUCCAACACUUCGACGGGCGCUCACUCUGCUUGAGCUUCGCCAAAGAAACAGACUUAGUCAUUAUAUUUGCCGGGUUAUCUGCUAUAGCAAUCUUUUUGACAAUAACAUUAUCCCAACAUCUCGGAUGAAGUGGUACCUGAUGUUGAUAUACUUCAUUUGCUUAUGAUAAACUGAAUUAUACGCCAAAUAUAUUACACAUUGGUUAUCACAGUGUAUAUCCACACUUUUUUGUUCUAACCCAAAGUCCGAAAGCAAAUUUUGUAACCAUAUCGCAUUUUUUGCUACAGAGGUUAGUGCAUGUAUUUUGCCUCAAUCAAAGACAAGACAAUGUGAUCCUAUAAUGAUGCUUUCCAACUAACUACACCACCCGCUAGCGUAAACACAUACCCUGCUAAAGAUCUGCAGUCAUCAAAGUCACCGGUGUAAUCCAAAUCCACAAAACCAAUGGUCUCACUGCCAUUACUAUCCUUCCGGUAUACUAUACCCACGUCUGUUGUUCCCUUCAAAUAUUUGAAGAUUUACUUUCCAGCUUCCUAAUGAGUUUUAUCAUAACGUUUCAUACAGCGACUAACCACGCUCAUAGCUUGUGAAAUAUCAGGCUUAGUGCAUACCAUAUCAUACAUAAUACUACCCACGUCAUUAGAAUAAAAAAACAUAGGACAUAUGCUUCUCCUCCUCCUCAGUAUGCGAUGAUAAAUUUAUUUAAAAGUUUAAAGUGCUUCGCUAAAGGUGUACAUACAGAUUUUGUUGACUGCAUAUUAAAACGUGCAACGAUCUUCUCAAUAUAUUUUCAUAGACAUAAAACUCUUGCAGUCCUGCCAUGCAAAAUCUCCAUAUCCAAUUUUUUUUUUUGCAGCACCUAAAUCUUUAAUCUCAAAUUCAACAUUUAACUGCCUCUUCAGCACAUCAAUAUCAGACACAUUCUUAAUUGCUAUAAGCAUAUUAUUAACAUCUAAGAGUAGAUAAAUCAAAGAACUAUUUUCCAAUCUCUUAUAGUAAACACAACUAUCCAUUUGACUUUUUGUGUAGAGAAAUAAUCAAAACGUUUAUACCAUUGUCUAGAAGACUGUUUCAGCCUAUACAAAAAUUUAUUUAACAAGCAAACAUGAUAUUUCUUACCUGAAAUAGCAAAUCCCUUUGGUUGCUUCAUGUAAAUCCGCUCUUCCAACUCACAGUGAAGAAAUGUACUUUUCACAUCUAGCUGCUCUAACUCGAGAUCCUACGAAGCAACUAAGACAAGUAAAACACGAAUAGAAGUAUGUCUUACCAUAGGAGAGAACACCUUAUUGUAAUCAAUGCCUUCAUGAUGUGUAUACCCAUUCACUACAAGUCUUGCCUUAUACUUCGUUGCCUUGACACUGGAAAUGCUCUCUUUCCGUUUAAAGACCUAUUUACUUCCGACAAUCUUUUGGCUCUUUGGUACUUUGAUCAGCUCCCAUGUCUGAUUUCGAUGGAGUGAUUCCAUCUCUUCACUCAUAGCCCCUAGUUACUGCGACGACUCCGAACUAGCCAUUGCCUCAGAGUAAGACGAAGGCUCAUCUGUCUCCACCUCAUCACCUAUAAUUAAUGCAUAAGUAAUAUCUGUAUAAUCAUAACAUACUAGUGAUUUAAUCUGCCUUCUUUGUCUAUCUGCGGCUAUAAUGUGCCGCGGUUUUGCUGGUUGUUCACUAUCACCGACUUAAGAAACUGUGGCUUCAUUUGCAGUCUCAACUUCUAUUACUUUCGAAGUCUCUGGAGUCUCCACCUGAAGCUCCACUUCACUAAUGACAUCAUGAUCUGUCUUCUCUGCUGGUUGUGUCUCAAAUUUCCUUCGUUGAAGUAUUGCAGUCUUGUCGAAGAUCACAUCUCUACUAAUUAGAAAACCGGGUGAUUUACGAUCAGUGCACCACAGCUAGUAGCCUUUCAUCCCAUGUGCAUAACCCGGAAAUAUGCAUUUCUUCGCCCUCGACUCAAGCUUACCAUCACUCGCAUGAACAUAUGUAGGACAUCCAAAUAUAUGUAAUUUGGAGUAAUCAAUAGGUUUCCCCGACCAUACUUCCUCAAAAGUCUUCCACUCGAUAGCAGAUGAUGGAGAUCGAUUAACCAGGUAAGAUGACAUGUUCAUUGCUUCGAUCCAAAAUUCCUUGCCAAGUCCUGCAUGUGAAAGCAUGUAUUGAGUUCGUUUAGGUAAAGUUUUGUUCUUUCGUUCUACCACGCCAUUCUGUUGUGGUGUCCUAGGUAUUGUGUGGUGUCUUACAAUACUUUUGUUUUUGCAAAACUUGAUAAAAUCUUUACCACGGAACUCCAUGCCAUUAUUGGUUUUCAGGCACUUGAUUUGUUUAUCUGACUGCUUCUUAAUCAAUGGCUUAAAUUUCUUGAACCGAGCAAACACUUCAUAUUUGUGCUUCAGAAAGUAAACUCAUACAUUCCUCAAAUAAUCGUCAAUAAAUGUCAACAUAUAUUAGGCACAUGCUUUCGAAGGAACUAAAGACGGGCCUCAGACGUCUGAAUGAAUAUAUUCAACUAGUCGUUUGGUCGAAUGAAUAGCUGUAGUAAACUUAACUUAGUGCUACUUCUCAAAGAGGCAGUGCUCACAUAAGUCCAGCUUGUCUUUUGACCUUUCAACAACUCCCUUUCACUCAACAUUGUCAUACUUGCCUUACUCAUGUGCUUUAAACGCAUAUGUCAUAAUUGAGUCAAGUUAAAAUCCGACUCACUUGAUGAAGCUGCAGUGGUUCUGGUCACAGUAUGUCCCAGUAGAUGAUAAAGAAUAUUCACUUUCUUCCCCUUCAUCACUGUCAUGACAUCUUGAGAGAUCUUCAAUACUCUACUUUCAGCGGUUUACUUAUACCCGAUGUCAUCGAGUGUCCUCAGAGAAAUAAGGUUCUUCUUGAACUCUAGUACAUGCCUCACAUUUGUCAAUGUGCACACCACCUCAUCGUGCAUUCGGAUCCGAAUUGUCCCUAUCCCUACAGCCUUAUAGACUGCAUUAUUCCCUAAAAGAACCCUACCACCAUCUGCAACUUAGUAAGUAGUAAACUAGUUCUUAUGAGGCGUCAUAUGAUAAGAACACCCCGAAUCUAGCACCCAUUCGUCUCCUAACGAAGUAUCAGUCACACAUAAAACAGUUUCUGUAUCACUAGUGCUCCCCUCAGCAACGUUUGCCAUACUGCUUGUAGCAUUCUGUCUAUCAACUUUAUUUCUCCACUUUGGACAAUCUCUCAUGAUGUGCCCCUCCUCAUGACAUUCAAAGCACUUUGCGCGUCCCUUAGACUUUUUAUGGCGUGAUUUCAAUAUACUUUUACCUCUGCUGCUACUAGGCUCUUGAUAUUGUUUUCUACCCAAAUCAUUAGUGUUUGCGUUGCUCCUUUCGCCAAACCAUUAUCUCGCAAUUUUCUUUGUCACUCCUUAGAAAAUAAGGCGGACUUUACUUAUUCUGAGAUAAUAGUAGUAUGCCCCUGUAACAACGAAUCAGUAAAGUGCUCCCAUGACUCUGGUAAAGAAGCUAACAAUAUCAUGCCCUAUUCUUCAUCAUCAAGUAUCUUACCGACGUUCUUUAAAUCCAUCGUGAGUUUAUUAAAUUUAUUUAGGUGUGUUUAAAUAGAUGCACCUUCAGUAUAUCUAAACUAAAACAUCUUCUUCAAUAUGUACAAACGAUUGUCUUUUUACGUUCAGACGACUUCUGCCCCUCCUUUCUUUUAGAAAGAAGUUUUAUACGUGUGUGCGUGUGUUGACUUUUGGGCCCCACCUGGGUAACAAAGAAUUCGGUAAGCUUCCGCGGAUAAGGAAGAAAUUCGUGUCUUCCUUUUAUUUCCUCUUUUUGUAAUCUUUCGUCGAGUCCAACGAAAUUUCUUCUACUUAGAAAAUUUUUAUCAACAAAAUUCGAUAUAAUAAAAUCGUCAUCCGAAUUCAAAUUCGAGACAUUAUUUAACAUUAUAGGGUGCCUAAAUCAUGCAAAGCCCAAAUUUCAAAUUUUUGUUAUCUUACUACAUGUAUUUUGUGGACCUACUUGGUCUCAUCCCAUAUGCUUGGGUUCUAUCAUGUUCAAUAGAAUGUCACCAUAUCCAAGUUUGUCAUAGCUGUCGACCUAGAUUAGGCAAGCACACAUCAAUUCGCUUCAGUCCGUUGUGAGUAAAUUAUGAGCUGGGAUAAAUGUAAGUGAAUCUCAAGUGAUGCACUGGAGAAAAUAUUUGGAAAUGCCAUCGAACCUCACCUUUUGUCUCUUCUAAGUAGUUAUUGAAUGAUCGGGAACGCCUUCCCACCGAGUCAAGUCAAUGUCGCCCCUACUAUCCAGAUAUUUGGAAAUGCCAUCGAACCCCACCUUUUGUCACUGCUAAGUAGUUAUUGAAUGAUCGGGAACGCCUUCCCACCGAGUCAAGUCAAUGUCGCCCCUACUAUCUUCCACCUCUCGACGUGAGGAAGUUAUUAUUGCCCGAGUGACGCAUGUAAUGACGCCUUGAGGCCCUCCAUCCUUUCCUUAUAAAAUACUCGUUCUUUUCCCCUGUUGCCUCUCACAACUUGUCCCGUUCUUGCACCGAUUCCUCACUCCUAGUGCGUCCCACUUUCACCAGAUUUCUGAGGAAGAAAGGAAAAUGUCGAGCUCUCAGUGUUUUGAGAACCCACCAAACCUGAGCUCCACUUGCGGAGCAGGACACAUUGAAGAGCUUGCAGGUCUCAAGACUUACGUCACCGGCCCUUCCGAUUCCAAGCGUGCUGUUCUUCUCAUCGCCGAUGCUUUCGGUACUGGCCCAUUUCUUUAAUUUUGAUUUUGUGGUGUUUCUCUCAGUUGGGUCUUUUCUUUUGGUCAAUUAUGUAUAUCUUCUUGGUUCUUUGUCGUUCUUGUGCUUUUCGAUUGGUCCAUGAUAUUGCUGCUUGAUUGAUGAUCUUUGCUCAUCUGUUUGUGCAGGGUAUGAGGCUCCUAAGCUGAGGUAUGGAAUCUUUCUCAAGUUGUUCUAUGUAUAUGUUGUUCUGUAGUGCCAUCUUUUUAAGUUUCAUAGUGAAUAAACUCUGUAUUCUCCGGAUAGCAUACAUUUGAAAGCUUUGCUUUUCCGUUCACCUUUCACCUGUGAUGACGAAGAGCAUUAGAUGGCACUUGAGGGCGAAGCCAGUUCAUUCUGGAUGAGUGUGUUUGGCGUUCUUCUGUUCCAAGUUAAAACAUCAUUUGUUGAAUUGUAUAUACACGUGGGACUUCAUGGCAUAGUUCAGCUGACAUUUGAUAUACAUCGCUUGAUUCAAUAUGAAUCACAGUUUUCUUUGUUCUAAUGAUUUCCGCUACUAAUAUGGCUCAGCUGGUUAUGUAAUUCGGUUUCAUCUUGAGAUAGAGUUAUCCUUAGUUGCAACACCAAAAUCACAUAAGCUGGGUUUGCCUUCUUGACAGUCCCGGCAUGAUUCUAUGUUUUAACAAGAUUGAGAAUGAUGAGAGUUACCUUUUCAAAUGGUCAUACUUAUUUGCGGAAUGCUUUUGUUGUGUAGGAAACUUGCAGAUAAAAUUGCAUCAGCAGGAUUCUUGGUGGUUGUAC